UGACCUACGGGGGGCAGCAGUGGGGAAUAUUGCACAAUGGGGGAAACCCUGAUGCAGCAACGCCGCGUGGGUGAAGAAGUAUUUCGGUAUGUAAAGCCCUAUCAGCAGGGAAGAGAAUGACGGUACCUGACUAAGAAGCCCCGGCUAACUACGUGCCAGCAGCCGCGGUAAUACGUAUGGUGCAAACGUUAUCCGGAUUUACUGGGUGUGAAGGGAGCGUAGGCGGCGCGUUAAGUCUGAUGUGAAAACCCGAGGCUCAACCACGGGAGUGCAUUGGAAACUGGCGGGCUGGAGUGCCGGAGAGG
Molecule: ribosomal RNA, 305 nt
Filed under: uncultured bacterium
Lineage: Bacteria
Description: bacterial SSU rRNA
Rfam family: Bacterial small subunit ribosomal RNA
Source: RNAcentral